UACGGAGGGUGCGAGCGUUGUCCGGAAUCAUUGGGCGUAAAGGGCGCGUAGGUGGCGGGACAAGCGUGCGGUGAAAGCUCGGGGCUCAACCCCGCGUCGGCCGUGCGAACUGUUUUGCUUGAGCACUGUAGAGGCAGGCGGAAUUCCGGGUGUAGCGGUGGAAUGCGUAGAGAUCCGGAAGGAACGCCGGUGGCGAAAGCGGUCUGCUGGCCCUCUACUGACGCUGAGGCGCGAAAGCCAGGGGAGCAAACGGG
Molecule: ribosomal RNA, 254 nt
Filed under: uncultured bacterium
Lineage: Bacteria
Description: partial 16S ribosomal RNA
Rfam family: Bacterial small subunit ribosomal RNA
Source: RNAcentral